This is a long non-coding RNA of Gadus morhua (Atlantic cod), 2045 nucleotides long. The record is from Ensembl. NCBI's taxonomy places the organism in Eukaryota, Metazoa, Chordata, Actinopteri, Gadiformes, Gadidae.
AUGGACAACGUAACCAGAGCCCUACAACUCCCCGUAUUAUUCAAGGGGAGCUCAGCAGCUCUCUGGGGAAGACUUGGAGAUGACCCAGCGUUGAAGGGAGUGAGAAUGGGGCUGAAUCCGAAGCACUCGUGUUUGAGGAAGGCCACGCUGUUGAGACAAGCACCAGUUACACGCUGUCCCGCCCCGCUCUCGUCUGUGUCACUGUCUCCACAAGGCGUUACAUCGGCUCCUGUGGACGACCCUGGUGAACACAUGCACUGUCGUAAGGACACGUACCAGUCAUGUUUCACCACAAACAUGAUCGGUCUUUUGCAUGCUAUUUCUCUACUUGAUGCAUUUUUGAAGAAUGAUAUUUUUUUAAUAUAGAUUUUGAAGAAUGGAAUCCUAUGCAUAUGUAUCAAUGUAGUUAUCUUUAUUUCCAAUAGCUAACAGGUUGACAAAAACAAAUACUUCAUAAAAAGUAUGGCUAAUAUAGUCUUGGAAAUGAGCCAAUUCCUUCAAAUAAAUAUUUGUGAUUGUUAUUUUAAUUCUGAUCAUCAAGAGACACAAAGAAAUAUAUAAUACUUCAUACAAAAUUAUGGCUACGGUCAUAUUAGUGAUGGAAUGUCUCCGUGUUUGUCUUCAUGGUCAAGCAGAAUCCAAGGGUUGAUUUAUCUCCACUAAUCAAGUUGCUCAAAGAACGUCAUACCAAUAAUCUAUCGACAGGUUUUCAAAAGCAGUUGGUUUAUAAGCGAAAAACAAAAGGAAAGAAAUGCCACUAUGGAACUCAUAAAAAAAGUACAAAAGAGCAUAAAUGCACUAUGUGAUAUAGCAAUCCACAGGUCGUUUACCAACGUUUUAAUUAAAGCCUUACAUAUUAAAACUUUACAACAAGUGAUAUGAAAAAUGUACAACAUUUUAUUUUUCAGGAAUUCUAUGUACAGCUGGCUAAAAUACCCCCCAAUGUUUUUCAAUUGGCUUUGACAGUGCAACAAACUGGCUUAGAGAGUCUUCUUUUGAAUGCUUUUUUUGUUGUUGAGACAAAUCAGGACCUGAGGAAUAGUGUAAAAAUACAUCAUUCGUGAAACCAUCUGCCUCGGUCCUGACAUUUGUAUGAACAAUAAAAUAUCCCUUUAAUACACAAAAUAAAAACAUAAUUUAAUUAUUAAACGUCUGAAGUAAAAACCAAACACAUCAGAGGGGUGGAAUCUUUUGUUGUCUUCUUGUUUUUGGAGUGCCAGGAACACACAAUGGAUGGUGAAGGGAACUCAGCCGAGAACAGUGAUGGCUCCUCUCUCCCAAACAUGUACAGCAGAUUACAGCUACAGUCGAUGACAGGGUGAUGCAGGUGAUUCAUGGCAGUAUUUGUCAGUCUAUUCUGUCCUUCAUUCAGUGAGAUGCAGCCAAAGGUCUCCUCUUCCAAUCUACGUGUCCUGGAGCCUCUUGUCUCUGUGACGUGAGUCCAAUGUGUUAGGAAAUCACUUCAGCCUCCUACAUCAUGUGAUGGUUUGAUCAUUUCCUCCUGGCCAGUAUUUAAUCAAUUACAUCAAAGGAAUGAGGGGUGAAAGAGAGGUACAGCGAGAGGUUCUCAGAGUAUACUGGCCAGUGUGGUAACAGGUAUUGAUUUGUGGGUACCAUUCCAGAACACGCUACCUGGGAAUCUUUCCGUUCGAAAUUGGUUUUGUUAAAAUAACUUCAAAAUAUCCAUUCGCUAGACGGAACUGACAACUCUGAUCUCAUAAAUAAAGCUUUAUUGUUAAAUAAAAACAGCAAAAAGACAUUCAUGUCUUCCCCCGUACGAGACAGUGAAAAGAAACACAACGAAACCUAAAGAAACAAACAAGACCCAGCAGAGAAACCAGGCAACGAGAUCUCCCCUCACAGCUCAGCCUAUUUCAUAGACAAAACCCACCGUUCGUAUUCGCGCUCUGUACACAUAUGUGCAUAUCCGUCUAUAACAAUGGACAAAUUCUCCUGUAUAACAUUCCCAUAUUUCUUUUGACACACUUUUUAAGUGCAACUUAGAAAAAGCAACCUAGAAUGAUGCUUUUUAUUAUUCUUUGAGA